RNAcentral lists this ribosomal RNA (464 nucleotides) under uncultured bacterium. RNAcentral describes it as "partial 16S ribosomal RNA". It matches the Rfam family "Bacterial small subunit ribosomal RNA", at positions 338 to 795 of the family's 1533-position model. The record is from RNAcentral.
CCUACGGGUGGCAGCAGUAGGGAAUUUUCGGCAAUGGGCGAAAGCCUGACCGAGCAACGCCGCGUGAACGAAGAAGGUCUUCGGAUUGUAAAGUUCUGUUAUCGAGGAAGAACGGUGUACGUAGGAAAUGGCGUACAAAUGACGGUACUCUGUGAGGAAGCCACGGCUAACUACGUGCCAGCAGCCGCGGUAAUACGUAGGUGGCGAGCGUUAUCCGGAUUUAUUGGGUUUAAAGGGUGCGUAGGCGGAUCGUUAAGUCAGUGGUCAAAUUGAGGGGCUCAACCCCUUCCCGCCAUUGAAACUGGCGAUCUUGAGUGGAAGAGAAGUAUGCGGAAUGCGUGGUGUAGCGGUGAAAUGCAUAGAUAUCACGCAGAACCCCGAUGGCGAAGGCAGCAUGCCGGCUUCCGACUGACGCUGAAGCACGAAAGCGUGGGGAUCGAACAGGAUUAGAUACCCUUGUAGUC